UACGUAGGGGGCUAGCGUUGUCCGGAUUUAUUGGGCGUAAAGAGCGUGUAGGCGGCCAGGUAGGUCUGGUGUGAAAACUCGAGGCUUAACCUCGAGAUGUCAUCGGAAACCAUCUGGCUAGAGUCCGGAAGAGGAGAGUGGAAUUCCUGGUGUAGCGGUGAAAUGCGCAGAUAUCAGGAGGAACACCUGUGGCGAAGGCGGCCCCCUGGUUGGAUACUGACGCUGAUACGCGAAAGCGUGGGGAGCAAACAGG
Molecule: ribosomal RNA, 253 nt
Filed under: uncultured bacterium
Lineage: Bacteria
Description: partial 16S ribosomal RNA
Rfam family: Bacterial small subunit ribosomal RNA
Source: RNAcentral